Molecule: ribosomal RNA, 253 nt
Filed under: uncultured bacterium
Lineage: Bacteria
Description: partial 16S ribosomal RNA
Rfam family: Bacterial small subunit ribosomal RNA
Source: RNAcentral
UACAGAGGGGGCAAGCGUUGUUCGGAAUUACUGGGCGUAAAGGGCGCGUAGGCGGCCUUCUAAGUCGAACGUGAAAUCCCCGGGCUCAACCCGGGAACUGCGUCCGAUACUGGAAGGCUUGAAUUCGGGAGAGGGAUGUGGAAUUCCAGGUGUAGCGGUGAAAUGCGUAGAUAUCUGGAGGAACACCGGUGGCGAAGGCGGCUUUCUGGGCCUUACCUGACGCUGAGACGCGAAAGCGUGGGGAGCGAACCGG